RNAcentral lists this unclassified non-coding RNA (161 nucleotides) under soil metagenome. RNAcentral's name for it is "partial internal transcribed spacer 1". The record is from RNAcentral.
CAAGAGUGCCGAAAGCUCACUUAAAACCAUCGCGAACGUUAUCCAGACGUCGUGCUUCGGCGCGCGGCUCGCCCGCACGGGGGACCGCUACCCCGCCUCUGCAGUAUUAGGGCCUCUCUGAGUACGACUCUGUAUUAUAGUGUAUCUGAGUAUACAAUAUU